Molecule: ribosomal RNA, 253 nt
Filed under: uncultured bacterium
Lineage: Bacteria
Description: partial 16S ribosomal RNA
Rfam family: Bacterial small subunit ribosomal RNA
Source: RNAcentral
UACGGGGGGGGCAAGCGUUGUUCGGAAUUACUGGGCGUAAAGCGUGCGUAGGCGGUUCGUUAAGUGCGUCGUGAAAGCCCCGGGCUCAACCUGGGAAUGGCGAUGGAAACUGGCGGGCUGGAGUAUGGCAGAGGGGGGUGGAAUUCCACGUGUAGCAGUGAAAUGCGUAGAGAUGUGGAGGAACACCGAUGGCGAAGGCAGCCCCCUGGGCUAACACUGACGCUCAUGCACGAAAGCGUGGGGAGCAAACAGG